RNAcentral lists this ribosomal RNA (442 nucleotides) under uncultured bacterium. Its description in RNAcentral is "partial 16S ribosomal RNA". It matches the Rfam family "Bacterial small subunit ribosomal RNA", at positions 338 to 795 of the family's 1533-position model. The record is from RNAcentral.
CCUACGGGUGGCAGCAGUGGGGAAUAUUGGGCAAUGGGCGCAAGCCUGACCCAGCAACGCCGCGUGAAGGAAGAAGGCCUUCGGGUUGUAAACUUCUUUUAAGAGGGAAGAGCAGACGACGGUACCUCUUGAAUAAGCUCCGGCUAACUACGUGCCAGAAGCCGCGCUAAUACGUAGGGAGCGAGCGUUGUCCGGAUUUACUGGGGGUAAAGGGCGUGCAGCCGGGAGUACAAGUCAGAUGUGAAAUCCCGCGGCUCAACCGCGGAACUGCAUUUGAAACUGUAUUUCUUGAGUACUGGAGAGGCAGGCGGAAUUCCUAGUGUAGCGGUGAAAUGCGUAGAGAUUAGGAGGAACACCAGUGGCGAAGGCAGUCUGCUGGACAGCAACUGACGGUGAGGCGCGAAAGCGUGGGGAGCAAACAGGAUUAGAUACCCUUGUAGUC